Molecule: long non-coding RNA, 1016 nt
Organism: Daphnia magna
Lineage: Eukaryota; Metazoa; Arthropoda; Branchiopoda; Diplostraca; Daphniidae
Exons: 3
Source: RefSeq, a predicted model, not a curated record
AAAUCAACAAGGAUGAUGAUGUGCUUCGUGCCUUAAAUAAGCCAUGGCCAUUUCGUAAGUUGGCGGAUCAUCGUCCUCUUUUCUCGUCCUGAAUAGAACGUUCGAUAAAUCUGAGACUUGUUGCAGGUCAAUAGAUGCUGUGACGUCAUGUCCGUUAGUAUCGUGACCGUGGCCGCCAUGUUGCGUCGUCCCUGUUGUGGUGAAAGAAAAGAGUAAUCCUCCGGUGAAAGAGUUGCGUGGAAUAAAACGAUUCGAAGAUAACCGUUAAUCGCGCCAAUCAGCUCCUUGCCCUACGUCACAAGCCUACAGGUGCUUAGGGACUCUUUGUUUUUGUUUUGAACCGACAUCACGUUGGCGAUAACAAACGGAAAUAAAACAAUUUGUUCCUCUUUCCGAAUCCAAAACAAAUGGUCCCGUGACGUAACGCUGACAUCUCUCCGAGCAACAGAUUAUUUUGUUUUUCGUACAAACUACAAAUGGUUAGCCGGUUCUUGUAGAGGAUCAUUCUUUAUGGCCUCGUCGUAACUCGGCGGAGGUAAUUCUUCCCAUUUGUAUUCCGGUGGAGGUGCGUUGUUGGCCCUUGCUCCGUCUAGUGUUAUGACGAAGACGUUGCCAUUAGCUGACGCAGUUGGUGAGCGACUUCCCGGACGACCACCUUGCUGAUUACGAGACUGAACGGACGUCGAGGCGUUGGCUUCACGCUGUUGGAGUUUGUUGCGUCGACCGCACGCACACAGCAGAAUGCUAAGCAUCAAGACACCGAAAACUAUGGCUAUCACCGUAAUCUCUACAGAAGGCAUAUUGUGUUGCAACCUGAAAAGGAUAGAGUGUUGUACAUUACCCCCACAAAAUUGCCAAUUCAACGUGACCGUGUUGGCACGUUUCCCUGCUAUGACAUAACCAUUAUCUUUUCACGAUCGCUUUCGUCGUUUAAAACUAAUCAAGUUGACAACAGCAAACGAUAGUCAACAUGCAUGAUGGUAACAGGAAGGAAAAGAUUUGAAUGCUGACGGAAA